CUUUGGACAAAUAACUGGGAGGACACAUUUUGACCAGCACAAUUCUCAGCCCUGAGAAGGACCCUCACACAGAGGAGUAACAGUAAGGAUGAAAUCACUGUGCCUACUCUUGGGCCUCUUGGCCCUUCAAGCCUGUUUCUCGCCUGCUGAGAGUCAAGGAGAAGAGGGGAGACCACCUGCACCCCCUCCUCCUUCCCCUGAUGACCCAGGGAGUCCUCCACCACCCCCUCCUCCUCCCCCUAAAGGCCCAGGGAGUCCUCCACCACCCC
This is a long non-coding RNA of Artibeus jamaicensis (Jamaican fruit-eating bat), 269 nucleotides long. RefSeq lists it as uncharacterized. NCBI's taxonomy places the organism in Eukaryota, Metazoa, Chordata, Mammalia, Chiroptera, Phyllostomidae. The record is from RefSeq and is a predicted model, not a curated record. The transcript has 3 exons.